Molecule: ribosomal RNA, 1484 nt
Filed under: Cyanobium sp.
Lineage: Bacteria; Bacillati; Cyanobacteriota; Cyanophyceae; Synechococcales; Prochlorococcaceae
Description: bacterial SSU rRNA
Rfam family: Bacterial small subunit ribosomal RNA
Source: RNAcentral
AACGGAGAGUUUGAUCCUGGCUCAGGAUGAACGCUGGCGGCGUGCUUAACACAUGCAAGUCGAACGAGCCUUCGGGCUAGUGGCGGACGGGUGAGUAACGCGUGGGAAUCUGCCCUCAGGAGGGGGAUAACGGCCGGAAACGGCCGCUAAUACCCCAUAUGCCGAGAGGUGAAAUGAAUUUCGCCUGAGGAUGAGCCCGCGUCUGAUUAGCUAGUUGGUGUGGUAAUGGCGCACCAAGGCUUCGAUCAGUAGCUGGUCUGAGAGGAUGAUCAGCCACACUGGGACUGAGACACGGCCCAGACUCCUACGGGAGGCAGCAGUGGGGAAUUUUCCGCAAUGGGCGCAAGCCUGACGGAGCAACGCCGCGUGAGGGACGAAGGCCUCUGGGCUGUAAACCUCUUUUCUCAAGGAAGAAGACAUGACGGUACUUGAGGAAUAAGCCACGGCUAAUUCCGUGCCAGCAGCCGCGGUAAUACGGGAGUGGCAAGCGUUAUCCGGAAUUAUUGGGCGUAAAGCGUCCGCAGGCGGCCCAGCAAGUCUGUUGUUAAAAAGUGGAGCUUAACUCCAUCCAGGCAAUGGAAACUGCUGGGCUAGAGUGUGGUAGGGGCAGAGGGAAUUCCCGGUGUAGCGGUGAAAUGCGUAGAUAUCGGGAAGAACACCAGUGGCGAAGGCGCUCUGCUGGGCCAUAACUGACGCUCAUGGACGAAAGCCAGGGGAGCGAAAGGGAUUAGAUACCCCUGUAGUCCUGGCCGUAAACGAUGAACACUAGGUGUCGGGGGAAUCGACCCCCUCGGUGUCGUAGCCAACGCGUUAAGUGUUCCGCCUGGGGAGUACGCACGCAAGUGUGAAACUCAAAGGAAUUGACGGGGGCCCGCACAAGCGGUGGAGUAUGUGGUUUAAUUCGAUGCAACGCGAAGAACCUUACCUGGUCUUGACAUCCACGGAACCCUUUAGAGAUAGAGGGGUGCCUUCGGGAACCGUGAGACAGGUGCUGCAUGGCUGUCGUCAGCUCGUGUCGUGAGAUGUUGGGUUAAGUCCCGCAACGAGCGCAACCCACGUCUUUAGUUGCCAGCAUUCAGUUGGGCACUCUAGAGAGACCGCCGGUGAUAAACCGGAGGAAGGUGUGGAUGACGUCAAGUCAUCAUGCCCCUUACAUCCUGGGCUACACACGUACUACAAUGCUACGGACAAAGGGCAGCAAACUCGCGAGAGCUAGCAAAUCCCAUAAACCGUGGCUCAGUUCAGAUCGUAGGCUGCAACUCGCCUACGUGAAGGAGGAAUCGCUAGUAAUCGCAGGUCAGCAUACUGCGGUGAAUACGUUCCCGGGCCUUGUACACACCGCCCGUCACACCAUGGAAGUUGGCCAUGCCCGAAGUCGUUACUCCAACCCGUAAGGGAGGAGGACGCCGAAGGUGGGGCUGAUGACUGGGGUGAAGUCGUAACAAGGUAGCCGUACCGGAAGGUGCGGCUGGAUCACCUCCUAA